CUCUUUUGCUCAAGUCCCAAUGUGUCUGCACAGUGGUCUCAGUUCGUCUUUAGUGCUCUUCAUUUCUUCUUUGUUUGUAUGCCUUCGCUGAUACCACGUGUUUACUGAAGCUUGCGCUUUUUGGUGGAGAAUGGUCAAGAUCAAGACAAUCAGCCGCUCCGAGUUGGAGUGGACAAAAGAUCGCGCGACGGAGGUGCCCAAGGUCAAUCGAAAUUAUGAUCCGAAGUUUAAUCCCAUGGCAAAACAGGUAGAGUUCACACGGGCGGUGGUUGCUGCCAAAAUGGACCGUAUGUUUGCAAAGCCUUUUGUAGCUGCGCUCUCGGGCCACCAGGAUACCAUUCAGUCGAUCGCUACUGAUAUUACAAGCCUGUCCACCGUAGCCACGGGCUCUGUUGACGGCGGGCUAAUAGUAUGGGAUGCGAUGACGCGGAAGCAGCGUGCGGUCAUCAACGCACAUCGACACUCUGUCGACGGCGUGGCCAUCUCGCCAGAUGGCGUCGCUUGCUUUAGCGCUUCGCGUGACAAAACAGUGAAGAUGUGGGAUUUGGACUUCGACCCUGGUGAAGAGAGUAUUGAGCCGGUGGCAGAGUUUCUCGGUGAGUUUCCCUUCUCCUCCAUCGAUCACCAUUUCCACAAGUCGUGGUUCGCCACGUCGUCGGACGUGGUGAACAUCUGGGAUGUCAAUCGCACGCAGCCCCUCCAGCGGUUUUCUUGGGGGGACGACACGGUGUCUUCCUGCCAGUUUAACAAGAUUGAGACCAAUUUAGUCGCAUGCUGCAUGGCAGAUCGCGGUGUCUUCCUGUACGACGUUCGCAGUCAGUCCGCCCACAGCAAGAUUGUGAUGGAGAUGUGUUCAACAUCACUUUCGUGGAACCCGAUGGACCCGAACGUGUUCGUGACGGGAAGCGACGACCGCAACUGCUACUUAUUCGACAUACGCGUGCCUGGACGUCCGCGCAAUGUCUUCCAGGGUCACAUCCGUCCUGUCACAUGUGUCGACUUUAGUCCGACUGGCACCAUGUUUGCCGCCGGAUCGCAAGACGCCUCGUUGCGCAUUUGGGACCUGCACCAGACAUCCAAGUCUGACUCGAUUGAGAUGUUCCACACGAAGCGGAUGGCCGGCGUGUACGCGGUGAAGUGGUCUCCCGAUAACAGCUACAUUUACAGCGGGAGCGAAGAUGCGGUGCUGCGUGUGUGGAAGUCCGACGCCAGCAAGCCGAUUCGUCCACUACGCGGCCCAGAGAAGCACAAGUUCAACUAUAUGCGCUCUUUGAAGAGUAAGUACUCCAACUUCGUCGAGGUGAAGCGAAUUAGCAACCAGCGCAAUGCACCCAAGGCAAUUCUGCGCACUUCACGCCGUAUCAAGAAGGCCGAGAAGCGCGAGGCAGUGAAAGAGAUGUCGCGCAUUCACGGCGACAACGUGAAGCCGCUGGCGAAGCGCAAGACCUACGGCUACGUGGAGUAGCCAAUCCGUGGAGCCCGACACUGGCACACAUUACGCUCCCCUACGUGAUCGAAUUUUGGCUUGCUUUCACAGUUCGCGGCCUGUCACGUUGCUCGCUGUCUGGGGGCUCAACAGCUUACUCUUGUGAUCAUGUGUAUGCAUAGGUGACGGGGUUUAUUCGCUAAACAAAAAAAGAAUGAUUCUUUGGCGUGACCUCCUAAUGCAGCAUCGCCUUCACGGUUUGCGCAAAUAUCUCUUUACUCCUAACCUUGCCUUUUUUUCGCUUAAGUGUCUGAAGUGUCCUUCCACUUUCUUUGUCUUGUCACUUAGUGGCCCACGUCUUCCUGUUCAACACACCAGAAUCUUUUUACUUUCUGGCCCGUUUUCCUCGCUUGCUGAUGCGCCCUGCAACCCUCUGCAGUUGAACUGUUC
This 1876-nucleotide unclassified non-coding RNA is filed under the name Leishmania donovani. Its description in RNAcentral is "gene:LdHU3.35.5090(CDS-product:WD_domain_G-beta_r epeat/Sof1-like_domain_containing_protein_putative)". The record is from RNAcentral. Lineage: Eukaryota; Euglenozoa; Kinetoplastea; Trypanosomatida; Trypanosomatidae.